RNAcentral lists this long non-coding RNA (1866 nucleotides) under Canis lupus familiaris (dog). Its description in RNAcentral is "lncRNA (ENSCAFG00845003567.1)". Lineage: Eukaryota; Metazoa; Chordata; Mammalia; Carnivora; Canidae. The record is from RNAcentral.
GUGCUGGGCGCAGAAUCUGAGGCCCAUGACCUCGUCCGCCAUGUUCACUCCUACAUUCCUUACACCCAGGACGGCGCCUGGGAUAACCGGGGCUCCAUGAACACUUCACGUAUCUGUUCAGUGUUCUGUUCAACUACUCCACUAAUGCAUGAAAGAAGAAAUGAAGUCAUUCUCCAGCUCUUUCCUUUUUAAAUUGUCUCCAUUCUUUCCUCUUCUUCCUACGUUCCUUAUGUUUUUUUCCCUACAACAUAUGAAUAGUCUAGGACUUCCAGGGCACCAUUCCAACUCUGGCCGAUGAUUCCACACAUCCUGGGAGUUAACCCCUUGCCACCAGCCGUAAACUCCGAGCUGGGCUCUGCAUCAAGUGCUCUACAAAUGCAAGCCAGUGAUGUCUUCGUGUAAAUCAGACAAGACACAAAGCCGAGGAGGUGAUCACGAUGGAAGCAGGUGCUGACACAGUCUUCAAGGUCAAGUGCCCCAAGGAAAACCAUGGCAGUGACGCAAGAACCUCAGCGGUAAAACCCAGGCAGGGCUUCAGGGCUUCAAAUCCCCCUCAGAGCACCCCAACCCCCAACAGAGAGAGUCGAAGAUAGAGAAAAUUUAUGGAUGAGGUGCAUGCGCCAUUAAAGGAGUCCUGUCUUUCAUGGCCAUCCUUUGGGACAAACGUUGUGUCUACAAGGCAAGGACACUGAUGAUUCCUUACCACCUCCCGGAAGAGGAUGGGGAAAACCCAGUCACAAAGGGAAGAGCAUGAUGAGAGACAGAGCUCACAUCACAGAGAUCCUAGGGGAUGCUAUUUUUUCUCUUCUUUCUAAAGUCUCUGUAAAAAAGCUCCAGACUUUUGUUUCUGAGUUGUGACCACUUUAAAGAAUGUAAAAUCCGAGCUAAAGUGGCUGCCACAUGAUUUCACCUCUGGCUGCUGGUGUGAGACACAGGGGUGGGGCUCUGGGGGUUGACAUCUGACUCUCAGCCUUGGGGAAGAAUGUGGUUAGAAAGAAGGGGUCUCUGAUGUGAUGCUGCUGCCAGUGGAGUUUGGGGCUUUGUGCCGUAACUAGAAGCAAUUCAGGCAGGAAAGGCUGGAGGAACUGAUGAAAAGGAACAGCAGGCAGAAGUGGAGGGAGAUGCAAGGCUGUGGAAAAAGGAGAAAAUAAACAGAGGUGACUCACGCUAUCUCUAAUCCAUGCCAAGCUCCCCUGCUCCCCUGUGUACAGGGACCAGGGGAAAUCUUCAACUUAGUUUCUGGUCAGUGUAGGCCAAAAAUCUACACUUGCAGUAACUCUUCAUCAUUUCAUAAAGCUUUCUGCUCAGAGCAUCUUAGUUGGUCUAAUGAAUUUGUAAAGGUAUAAAGAAUUUGUGUGAUUUUUUCCCCCAGGCUCCUAGCAUGGAGCUUCUAACAUCCUCGGGAUUUCCUGAAUGAUAGAAGUACCUCUGUUAUUCGUGAGUCCUGUCUAUCACUAUGCUAUCAUGAAGUUAACGAGGUGACUCAUUUGUGGGACCCUAAAUAGCUUCAGAAUGGGAGCUGGUCACCAGGAAGACUGACCGUAUGAUUAGAGGGUCUUUAGUUGGCUCUUUGAGCUAGCUCUGGCUCCAGGGAAAGAAGGAAGACUGGUGAUUGAGUUUAACUAUGGGGCCAAUGAUUUAAUCAAUUAUGCCUAUGUAAUAAAACUCUGGAUGCCAAAGCUCAGUGGAACUUUCUGACUGGUGAACACUUUGAUGUGCUGGACAUGAUGCACCCUCACUCCAUGAGAAGACUGCCCAGGACCCUCCCAGACCUCAUAUGUGUCUCUUCAUUUGGCUGUUCCUGAUCUGUAUGUAUUUUUUUAAUAAUAAAAGUGUACUCAUAGUCUAGCUCUUUCCUGAGUUCUU